Molecule: RNA transcript, 1090 nt
Organism: Fragaria vesca subsp. vesca
Lineage: Eukaryota; Viridiplantae; Streptophyta; Magnoliopsida; Rosales; Rosaceae
Exons: 7
Source: RefSeq, a predicted model, not a curated record
ACACUUCAACCGUGUUCAACGUUGAGGAGCCCGAUCCCAUAGUCUGAACCCCAAAGCGCGACCCAGCCUCUUGCCGACCCCAACUACGACCACCUCUGAUCCCUUCUCUGCCUCCGACCGACGAAGUCUCAAAUCUCUCUCAAACAAAGCCUUCAAAUUUCUCUUACUUUAGCUUUCAUUCUCUAACCUCAAAAUCAAUGGUGUCGUUUGCUGAAGACUGACCGAGGGCGGAGAGAAGAUUUUCAAGAUCAAGUGCGCUUAAUGCCACACCGUCAACAAAGGCACGGACCACAAAUGGGAGACGAAUCUGUCGAGGUCACCCCUAGAGAACCAUGAUGCCUCGCAGGCUAUGGGUAAAGCUAUGGAGGUCAUAUAUUUCAGGAGGUAACUUGGAGGAAGCCAUUGAGCAUCUUACUGAGGCAAUUUUGCUCAAUUGUACUUCGGCUAUUAUGUACGGCACAAAAGCCAGUGUGUACAUAAAAAUGAAAAAACUUAAUGCUGCCAUCCGUGAUGCCAACGCUGCUCUUGAGACUACAAAUCUCGUGGCAUAGCUCACUCCAUGCUUGGUAAUUGGGAAGAGGCUGCGAAGGAUCUCCACUUGGCAUCAAAGCUAGACUUUGAUGAGGAAAUUAGUGUCAUACUAAGAAGGUUAAAUCUACAUCCCGCAAGAAAUAUUGUGUAUGACCAAAUGUAGUUGUUAUCUUGCCAAAAUCAGCUUGUGAAUUCUCAGGAACUGGUGCAAUACUCAUGUGUUAGGUCAAGGCUGCAAAGCAACAAAACUUGUGGAGAGGACUGAAGUUAAACCCAGGUCUUUUGUAGCACAUACAAUGGCAAAUUGGCAAUGACAUGGAUUGAAGAACAUCCCUUUUUCUCAGACUUGAAAUGUUGCUUCUGAUAUCAGUGUAAUUGCUUGAGGUCUCUCAAUUGGAAAGGUAAGAGUUACUUAAACAGUCAAAUCUGUUAAGAGGAGGCUUGCAAACACUAGAGUAAUUGGUUGAGGAAAAUUCUGCAAAGCUUAUCUUGAAGUAUAGGAACAAAUGUACAUUGUACUAUCUUGUAAACUUGUGUAAGAGCUUUCAUCUUUUGUAAC